RNAcentral lists this ribosomal RNA (253 nucleotides) under uncultured bacterium. RNAcentral's name for it is "partial 16S ribosomal RNA". It matches the Rfam family "Bacterial small subunit ribosomal RNA", at positions 524 to 776 of the family's 1533-position model. The record is from RNAcentral.
UACGGAGGGGGCUAGCGUUGUUCGGAAUUACUGGGCGUAAAGCGCGCGUAGGCGGAUCUGCAAGUCGGGGGUGAAAUCCCGAGGCUCAACCUCGGAACUGCCUUCGAUACUGCGGGUCUCGAGUCCGGGAGAGGUGAGUGGAAUUCCUAGUGUAGAGGUGAAAUUCGUAGAUAUUAGGAAGAACACCGGUGGCGAAGGCGGUUCUCUGGGCAUUACCUGACGCUGAGGAGCGAAAGUGUGGGGAGCGAACAGG